RNAcentral lists this ribosomal RNA (338 nucleotides) under Vibrio alginolyticus. RNAcentral's name for it is "bacterial SSU rRNA". It matches the Rfam family "Bacterial small subunit ribosomal RNA", at positions 1 to 325 of the family's 1533-position model. Lineage: Bacteria; Pseudomonadati; Pseudomonadota; Gammaproteobacteria; Vibrionales; Vibrionaceae. The record is from RNAcentral.
AAAUUGAAGAGUUUGAUCAUGGCUCAGAUUGAACGCUGGCGGCAGGCCUAACACAUGCAAGUCGAGCGGAAACGAGUUAUCUGAACCUUCGGGGAACGGUAACGGCGUCGAGCGGCGGACGGGUGAGUAAUGCCUAGGAAAUUGCCCUGAUGUGGGGGAUAACCAUUGGAAACGAUGGCUAAUACCGCAUGAUGCCUACGGGCCAAAGAGGGGGACCUUCGGGCCUCUCGCGUCAGGAUAUGCCUAGGUGGGAUUAGCUAGUUGGUGAGGUAAGGGCUCACCAAGGCGACGAUCCCUAGCUGGUCUGAGAGGAUGAUCAGCCACACUGGAACUGAGAC